RNAcentral lists this transfer RNA (92 nucleotides) under Wolbachia endosymbiont of Howardula sp. RNAcentral's name for it is "tRNA-Ser". It matches the Rfam family "tRNA". Rfam says of the family: Transfer RNA (tRNA) molecules are approximately 80 nucleotides in length. Their secondary structure includes four short double-helical elements and three loops (D, anti-codon, and T loops). Lineage: Bacteria; Pseudomonadati; Pseudomonadota; Alphaproteobacteria; Rickettsiales; Anaplasmataceae. The record is from RNAcentral.
GGAAGGAUGGCCGAGAUGGCUUAAGGCGUCGGUUUGCUAAACCGUUAUACGAUAUUAGAAUUGUAUCGAGGGUUCGAAUCCCUCUCCUUCCG